Long non-coding RNA from Nomascus leucogenys (northern white-cheeked gibbon), 124 nucleotides. RefSeq lists it as uncharacterized. The transcript is spliced from 2 exons. The record is from RefSeq and is a predicted model, not a curated record. Lineage: Eukaryota; Metazoa; Chordata; Mammalia; Primates; Hylobatidae.
AAAAUGCAAUUGAUACACUGAAGAAUGCAUCAGAUCUCUUAAUAGCAGAAUUGAUCCAGCAGAAGAAAAAAUUAGUGAGAUAGAAGACAGGCUAUUUGCAAAUACACAGGCAGAGAAGACAAAA